This 472-nucleotide ribosomal RNA is filed under the name uncultured bacterium. RNAcentral describes it as "bacterial SSU rRNA". It matches the Rfam family "Bacterial small subunit ribosomal RNA", at positions 29 to 507 of the family's 1533-position model. The record is from RNAcentral.
AAUGAACGUUGGCGGCGUGGAUUAGGCAUGCAAGUCGAGCGAGAAGCUUCCUGCUUGCAGGAAGUGGAAAGCGGCGCAAGGGAGAGUAACGCGUAGUUAUCUACCCCAGGGUCCGGAAUAGCGGUGGGAAACUGCCGGUAAUGCCGGAUAAUAUCUCAGGAUCAAAGGUGUGAUUCCGCCCUGGGAGGGGACUGCGUCCUAUUAGCUUGUUGGUGGGGUAAUGGCCUACCAAGGCAACGAUGGGUACCGGGCGUGAGAGCGUGGCCCGGCUCACUGGGACUGAGACACUGCCCAGACACCUACGGGUGGCUGCAGUCGAGAAUCUUCGGCAAUGGACGAAAGUCUGACCGAGCGACGCCGCGUGUGGGAUGAAGGCCUUCGGGUUGUAAACCGCUGUCAGAGGGGAGGAAAUUCUUGAGGGUUAUCCCUCUUGAUUGACCUAUCCUCAGAGGAAGUACGGACUAAGUACGUG